UUAACAUCAUAAAGGAUAUCAUUGGUGCGUUAAUAAAUCAAAUUUAUUUGUUUUUGGACAGUUAAGAUGUUGAUGCUUUACGUUUCAAUUGGUAUUACUGCAUUAGUGGUGGUGGUAAUACUAGUUCCCAUGUCAGCUUGCCUAUUGAACAACGGGUAAGUUACUCUUAUUUCUUUUUGGAGGGAGCUAUGCAGAUUUGUAUUUGUUUUUAGCUGUUUUGUUCUGUUUGUAUAAAUUGGCAUUAUUUUUCUCAUCAGUGGGAGGAGUCAUAGUGACCAGCCAGUAACCAGUAUGCAGGAUAUGGAUGCAUCCAAGUGUGCUUCCUCAGAUCCCUCAACAUCAAGGAAAGAGCAGAAAGACACCAGCAGUGAAAUCAACACAAACUACUAUACCAAGAAUCACCUAUAUGGCAACAUAGAGGCUGAAGAGGAUGGCGACCAAUUCGAGUGUGAUGGUGGAGAUGAUUCAGUCUAUGGUAACGUGUGAACACAAAAGGAAAGCAUGUGGAAGUCAGCUGGUUCAGAGCCAAUGGUACUCAGUCUCUCAAAGAUUCCAGUGAAAUAUUAACAUUUUAACCCAAUGUAGCAGAACAGGUGACUGCUUAUAUUUGUUAACUUGAUGUAGCUUUAUGGUUCUUAUGGCUAAUGAAUAUGGUGCAUUCUUAUUUGGGCUGUGGCGUUUAUGUUACGGCUUUUACAAGGCGUUUGUUUAUUAUCUGUGGCUUGGUUGAUUCAGAAGGAUUUUUACUAAAUGUUAAAUACAACCAGUAUUUAACAAUAGCUUGUUUCACACUUCCCCAGCUGUCUGUUGAAAUUGUGUCUUGAGGGUUAUCUGAGGCUAGAAUACGAGUGUGGGACUUUCAGUGUUUCUCCACUUGGGGUUCCUCUGUCAUUUAUUUGUUCAACAUCUGUUUAUUUCCAUAGGGUUUGAACUCUUUCACAACACUGAUUUAGUAAACUUUAGGUUUCUUGACCUUCUCUAUAAGAACAUAUCGGUAACAGGCAUACAAAUCAAAAUACAGACAAUUAUGCAUUUUUUUCAUGGUUUUGAUUGUAUCUCUGUAUACAUGAUUAAAUCUGGAGAAAAAAAAAUAUUUCACAAAACAUGUUUUUUUAACAAAUCCUUCAUUUGAUUUGAAAGGCAUUGACAUUUUUUUUAAGGAUUCAGUGUAUUGAAUAGUGGGAAUGGUGUGUUCUCCUUCCUACUGUACAUCAUUG
This 1217-nucleotide long non-coding RNA is filed under the name Salmo trutta (river trout). RNAcentral's name for it is "lncRNA (ENSSTUG00000010212.1)". The record is from RNAcentral. Lineage: Eukaryota; Metazoa; Chordata; Actinopteri; Salmoniformes; Salmonidae.